GUGGCCGAGUGGUUAAGGCGUUG
Molecule: non-coding RNA, 23 nt
Filed under: Cricetulus griseus (Chinese hamster)
Lineage: Eukaryota; Metazoa; Chordata; Mammalia; Rodentia; Cricetidae
Source: RNAcentral